Molecule: ribosomal RNA, 468 nt
Filed under: uncultured bacterium
Lineage: Bacteria
Description: partial 16S ribosomal RNA
Rfam family: Bacterial small subunit ribosomal RNA
Source: RNAcentral
GACGAACGCUGGCGGCGUGCUUAACACAUGCAAGUCGAACGGAAAGGCCCUGCUUUUGUGGGGUGCUCGAGUGGCGAACGGGUGAGUAACACGUGAGUAACCUGCUCUUGACUUUGGGAUAACUUCAGGAAACUGGGGCUAAUACCGGAUAGGAGCUCCUGCUGCAUGGUGGGGGUUGGAAAGUUUCGGCGGUUGGGGAUGGACUCGCGGCUUAUCAGCUUGUUGGUGGGGUAGUGGCUUACCAAGGCUUUGACGGGUAGCCGGCCUGGGAGGGUGACCGGCCACAUUGGGACUGAGAUACGGCCCAGACGCCUACGGGAGGCAGCAGUGGGGAAUAUUGCACAAUGGGCGGAAGCCUGAUGCAGCAGCGCCGCGUGCGGGAUGACGGCCUUCGGGUUGUAAACCGCUUUCGCCUGUGACGAAGCGUGAGUGACGGUAAUGGGUAAAGAAGCACCGGCUAACUACGUG